RNAcentral lists this ribosomal RNA (997 nucleotides) under bacterium. RNAcentral describes it as "bacterial SSU rRNA". It matches the Rfam family "Bacterial small subunit ribosomal RNA", at positions 66 to 1077 of the family's 1533-position model. The record is from RNAcentral.
GCGGACCGACGGGAGCUUGCUCCCUUAGGUCAGCGGCGGACGGGCGAUUAACACGUGGGUAACCUGCCUGUAAGACUGGGAUAACUCCGGGAAACCGGGGCUAAUACCGGAUGCUUGAUUGAACCGCAUGGUUCAAUCAUAAAAGGUGGCUUUUAGCUACCACUUUCCGAUGGACCCGCGGCGCAUUACCUAGUUGGUGAAGUAACGGCUCACCAAGGGGACGAUGCGUAGCCCACCUGAGAGGGUGAUCCGCCCCACUGGGACUGAGACACGGCCCAGACUCCUACGGGAGGCAGCAGUACGGAAUCUUCCGCAAUGGACUAAAGUCUGACGGAGCAACGCCGCGUGAGUGAUGAAGGUUUUCGGAUCGAAAAACUCUGUUGUUAGGGAAGAACAAUUACCGUUCCAAUAGGGCGGGACCUUGACGGUACCUAACCAGAAAGCCACUGCUAACUACGUGCCAGCAGCCGCGGUAAUACGUAAGUGGCAAGCGUUGUCCGGAAUUAUUGGGCGUAAAGCGCGCGCAGGCGGGUUCUUAAGUCUGAUGUGAAAGCCCCCGGCUCUAUCGGGGAGGGUCAUUGGAAACUGGGGAACUUGAGUGCAAAAAGGAGAUUGGAAUUUCUCGUGUAGCGGUGAAAUGCGUAAGAUGUGGAGGAACCCAGUGGCGAGGCGACUCUCUGGUCUGUACUGACGCUGAAGCCGAAAGCGUGGGGAGCGAACAGGAUUAGAUACCCUGGUAGUCCACCCCGUAAACGAUGAGUGCUAAGUGUUAGAGGGUUUCCGCCCUUUAGUGCUGCAGCAAACGCAUUAAGCACUCCGCCUGGGGAGUACGGUCGCAGACUGAACUCAAAGGAAUGACGGGGCCCGCACAGCGGGGAGCUGGGGUUAAUCGAGCACGCGAGAACCUACCGGUCUGAAUCUUUGACACCUAAAAUAGGCUUCCCUCGGGGAAAUGACGGUGUGCAGGUGUCUCACUCGGUCGGAAAGUGGGUAAUCC